Triticum aestivum (bread wheat) is the source of this 125-nucleotide non-coding RNA. The record is from Rfam. Lineage: Eukaryota; Viridiplantae; Streptophyta; Magnoliopsida; Poales; Poaceae.
CACGUACUCCCUCCGUCCGGAAAUACUUGUCAUCAAGAUGAAUUAAAGGGGAUGUAUCUAGAUGUAUAUUAAUUCUAGAUACAUCCAUUUUGAUGACAAGUAUUUUUGGACGGAGGGAGUAUGUG